AAGUCGUAACAAGGUUUCCGUAGGUGAACCUGCGGAAGGAUCAUUAACACGUAUCCAACAUGAAUCCCCCCGUGCACCUUCACUCUCUUGAUUAAGAGUUAAAUAAUGCGUCGGGAUUUUGGCUCCCUUGAAUUGUAUUGCCAAUUACCUUCUCGCGAUUUUUGUUUGGAUACGCGGGCCCUUCGAGGCACCCACCAUCAUAAAACCACCGCGUAAGCACCAGUUCACACCCUUAAACGGGCCAGGAGCCGGAAACCCGAACAACUGUUAACAAUGGAUAUCUUGGCUCUC
Molecule: unclassified non-coding RNA, 291 nt
Filed under: fungal sp.
Lineage: Eukaryota; Fungi
Description: partial internal transcribed spacer region
Rfam family: Eukaryotic small subunit ribosomal RNA (bases 1-46)
Source: RNAcentral